CCUGAACUUUACAAAACAUGGACCAAAGUGCUUGGCUUCAAGCAACUUGAUGAAUCGUUGAGGCAUGCAAUGAAGGGUAUGCGUUUGAUAGUGUUUCCUGUUAAAGAUAUAUGCUUCGCCAACCUCUCCUAAAGAAUCAGUUUGCUGAUAAGAAUCUUAUUUCAGUGCAGGUUGAAGUGAAAAGGAUACUUCCCAGAGAGGAUACACAGGGAAGUUGAGGUGUAUCAAGAACAAAGAAAAUAUUUGUUGGUGAUGAAUUGGGGU
Molecule: long non-coding RNA, 264 nt
Organism: Helianthus annuus (common sunflower)
Lineage: Eukaryota; Viridiplantae; Streptophyta; Magnoliopsida; Asterales; Asteraceae
Exons: 3
Source: RefSeq, a predicted model, not a curated record